CUCAACAGUCAAAAAAAGCUUGAAACAAGUUGUAUGGUGGUCGUGUGUUCAACGGUAAAGCCAAAAAGGGGAAACUUGACUGCAGAAGUAUCUAUCUGUCUCCUUUCGAUCUCUAGCAAUCGCGCAGUUCAACGAAGGUUUCGCGCGGCUUGUCGACAUCAGUACUUUUAUAUAAAUUCUCAGAUUCUCGAAAAUGAUAUUUCUUUCACUAGACUUGUUCUUUACUGCUACGAAUCUCCUUGUUUCUUCAUCAACUGAUCGUCGAUGGACCGUAAAACUUUGUCUGCGACCUUGAAGGAUGCUAAUAAUCAGAAAGUGAAAAAGAGAAAAAACAGAGAGCGUACGAAAUGUGCAAAGAAAACGAAGAUGACUCAGCAUUCCUUAAGUGCUAUUGGUGAGGAAAUUAAGGAGACCGAGCAUGAAAAUGAUUCCAUGCUUCAGAUGCUGCAACGAAAGCAGCUUGAGAUCAAACAGCAGAAAGCUGACUUCUGUGAUUCGCAAAACAAAAUAAUCACUGCACAUGAAAACUGUGUAGGUGCAUUUUUGCAAGAGCCAUUAUUCCAAUACCUCAUGGCGGGAUCUAACCAGCUAGAAAUUGCGCAACGUGUUAUGUUUUCUCCAAAUGCCAAUUCGGAUGGUAGGGUUCCAUCCGAGGAUGGCAUCGUUGAAUUGAAACAUCGUUCUAAGAUUUCGUUUAAGCAGAUUGAAGUUUUAUGCAAAAUCUUGACAGGAUAAGAAGCUUGAAAGUAAACUGCAGAGUGAGAGAUUGUAGUCUUCAAUCUGUGAAGAUCAUUAAAAAAACGAAUUUAAUGCUCAGAACCAAUCUCCUAACUAUAUAUUGUAGACUUUCCGAAUCUGUAGAACCUCCUCUCAUAUUUUGCAUCUUGGUGACUUUGGAUCAACAUUCCAGGUCCCAUUCCGUGUGUCUCAUUCUUGAUCUUGACAAGCUAAUUCAUUUUUGUCCAACGAAUCUUAGUCCACUCUUGGUUUAUCAAGGUGGAUUCAAAUCCUCCCAGGAGAUUUGCUGAGGCAUCCGGAAUCCGGAAUGAAGAUGGCGGUUGUUUGCUGCCCGGAUCGACGAUAUGUUUCCCGCCUUUCCCCUUAUUAUAUCUUCAGUCAAUUCAUGUGAUGAAACAUGACAUCCCAAAUAAUGAAUUUCCCAUUCUGUUGUUGAAUCUCGUCGCUCUGUGGAAGACAGGACUUGUAAACUUUGAGUGCAUUUACAUUUGCGUAGCUUAUUAUUAUGUUUGAAUUGGUUUUUAUCUU
Populus euphratica (Euphrates poplar) is the source of this 1266-nucleotide RNA transcript. RefSeq lists it as uncharacterized. NCBI's taxonomy places the organism in Eukaryota, Viridiplantae, Streptophyta, Magnoliopsida, Malpighiales, Salicaceae. The transcript is spliced from 6 exons. The record is from RefSeq and is a predicted model, not a curated record.